CCUACGGGUGGCAGCAGUGGGGAAUAUUGGACAAUGGGCGAAAGCCUGAUCCAGCCAUGCCGCGUGUGUGAAGAAGGCCUUCGGGUUGUAAAGCACUUUCAGUGGGGAAGAAAGCCUUGGGGCUAAUACCCUCGAGGAAGGACAUCACCCACAGAAGAAGCACCGGCUAACUCCGUGCCAGCAGCCGCGGUAAUACGGAGGGUGGCGAGCGUUAAUCGGAAUUACUGGGCGUAAAGCGCGCGUAGGCGGUCUGAUAAGCCGGUUGUGAAAGCCCCGGGCUCAACCUGGGAACAGCAUCCGGAACUGUCAGGCUAGAGUGCAGGAGAGGAAGGUAGAAUUCCCGGUGUAGCGGUGAAAUGCGUAGAGAGCGGGAGGAAUACCAGUGGCGAAGGCGGCCUUCUGGACUGACACUGACGCUGAGGUGCGAAAGCGUGGGUAGCAAACAGGAUUAGAUACCCGAGUAGUC
Molecule: ribosomal RNA, 466 nt
Filed under: Vreelandella stevensii
Lineage: Bacteria; Pseudomonadati; Pseudomonadota; Gammaproteobacteria; Oceanospirillales; Halomonadaceae
Description: partial 16S ribosomal RNA
Rfam family: Bacterial small subunit ribosomal RNA
Source: RNAcentral